AGUGAACGCUGGCGGUAGGCCUAACACAUGCCAGUCGAACGGCAGCACAGUAAGAGCUUGCUCUUACGGGUGGCGAGUGGCGGACGGGUGAGGAAUACAUCGGAAUCUACUUUUUCGUGGGGGAUAACGUAGGGAAACUUACGCUAAUACCGCAUACGACCUACGGGUGAAAGCAGGGGAUCUUCGGACCUUGCGCGAUUGAAUGAGCCGAUGUCGGAUUAGCUAGUUGGCGGGGUAAAGGCCCACCAAGGCGACGAUCCGUAGCUGGUCUGAGAGGAUGAUCAGCCAAACUGGAACUGAGACACGGUCCAGACGACUACGGGAGGAAGCAGUGGGGAAUAUUGGACAAUGGGCGCAAGCCUGAUCCAGCCAUACCGCGUGGGUGAAGAAGGCCUUCGGGUUGUAAAGCCCUUUUGUUGGGAAAGAAAAGCAGCAGGUUAAUACCCCGCUGUUCUGACGGUACCCAAAGAAUAAGCACCGGCUAACUUCGUG
This 492-nucleotide ribosomal RNA is filed under the name uncultured bacterium. RNAcentral describes it as "partial 16S ribosomal RNA". It matches the Rfam family "Bacterial small subunit ribosomal RNA", at positions 29 to 507 of the family's 1533-position model. The record is from RNAcentral.